GAAACUGCGAAUGGCUCAUUAAAUCAGUUAUCGUUUAUUUGAUAGUACCUUACCACUUGGAUAACCGUGGUAAUUCUAGAGCUAAUACAUGCUAAAAACCCCGACUUCGGAAGGGGUGUGUUUAUUAGAUAAAAAACCAAUGCCCUUCGGGGCUCUUUGGUGAUUCAUGAUAACCUAACGGAUCGCAUGGCCUUGCGCCGGCGACGGUUCAUUCAAAUUUCUGCCCUAUCAACUUUCGAUGGUAAGGUAUUGGCUUACCAUGGUUUCAACGGGUAACGGGGAAUUAGGGUUCGAUUCCGGAGAGGGAGCCUGAGAAACGGCUACCACAUCCAAGGAAGGCAGCAGGCGCGCAAAUUACCCAAUCCCGACACGGGGAGGUAGUGACAAUAAAUACUGAUACAGGGCUCUUUUGGGUCUUGUAAUUGGAAUGAGUACAAUUUAAACCCCUUAACGAGGAACAAUUGGAGGGCAAGUCUGGUGCCAGCAGCCGCGGUAAUUCCAGCUCCAAUAGCGUAUAUUAAAGUUGUUGCAGUUAAAAAGCUCGUAGUUGAAACUUGGGUCUGGCUAGCGGGUCCGCCUCACCGCGUGCACUUGUCCGGCUGGACCUUUCCUUCUGGAGAACCUCAUGCCCUUCACUGGGUGUGUUGGGGAACCAGGACUUUUACUUUGAAAAAAUUAGAGUGUUCAAAGCAGGCCUUUGCUCGAAUACGUUAGCAUGGAAUAAUAGAAUAGGACGUGCGGUCCUAUUUUGUUGGUUUCUAGGAUCGCCGUAAUGAUUAAUAGGGAUAGUCGGGGGCAUCAGUAUUCAAUUGUCAGAGGUGAAAUUCUUGGA
This 832-nucleotide ribosomal RNA is filed under the name Camposporium sp. RNAcentral's name for it is "SSU rRNA". It matches the Rfam family "Eukaryotic small subunit ribosomal RNA", at positions 83 to 924 of the family's 1831-position model. Lineage: Eukaryota; Fungi; Ascomycota; Dothideomycetes; Pleosporales; Melanommataceae. The record is from RNAcentral.